UAGAGACUCAGAGCUGCAUAUCAAUAAGCGGAGGAAAAGAAACUAACUAGGAUUCCCUUAGUAACGGCGAGUGAAGCGGGAAGAGCUCAAAUUUGAAAUCUUCAAGGUUUUACCUUGACGAAUUGUAGUUUAAAGAAGUGUUUUCUGUUGGAGUUUUGGUAAAAGUUCCUUGGAAAGGGACAUCAUAGAGGGUGAGAAUCCCGUAUUUGGUAUCCAUUAUCUCAGCUUUGUGAUACACUUUCAAAGAGUCGGAUUGUUUGGGAAUGCAGUCCAAAAUGGGUGGUAAAUUUCAUCUAAAGCUAAAGUACUGGCGAGAGACCGAUAGCGAACAAGUACCGUGAGGGAAAGAUGAAAAGAACUUUGAAAAGAGAGUUAAACAGUACGUGAAAUUGUCAAAAGGGAAGCGUUUGACACCAGUGUUGUUUUUCCGAAAAUCAAUUACGAAUGUCUUGAUUUUGAGGAUUGUAUUGACCUUAUCAGGCUUGCUUCACUUUCUUUACGAAUCUUUCUUAAUGCACUUUUCGGUUAACAAGUCAACAUCAAUUUCUUUUGUUGUAAAAGGAGUAUGCGGAAGGUGGCUUUCUUUUCGGAGAAAGUGUUUAUAGCCCUAUACUUCUACAAUCGGAGAGAUUGAGGUCUGCAGCGUAGAUCCUUCGGGGUUAGAUACACUUGUGCUAAGUUGUAGCUUUUCAUAGACAACUUGUUGACUAUGUUUAGUCAUGCGGCUUACUCGCUUAGGCUAUUUUACCUACGCUUAGGAUGUUGACGAUCAGCUGAGCGCG
Molecule: ribosomal RNA, 782 nt
Filed under: uncultured Neocallimastigales
Lineage: Eukaryota; Fungi; Neocallimastigomycota; Neocallimastigomycetes; Neocallimastigales
Description: partial large subunit ribosomal RNA
Rfam family: Eukaryotic large subunit ribosomal RNA
Source: RNAcentral